Molecule: ribosomal RNA, 300 nt
Filed under: Triticum aestivum (bread wheat)
Lineage: Eukaryota; Viridiplantae; Streptophyta; Magnoliopsida; Poales; Poaceae
Description: partial small subunit ribosomal RNA
Source: RNAcentral
AUGUUUAUUCACUUGUCAUUGCACGAGAGUGUGGCAGGUAAUAGGGAUGCCCAAUCCCGAAAUGAAAAAAAAAUUAUAUAUGUUGUUCAUAAUAAAUUCCUUGGAAAGUGUUGGUAUGUAAGGCACCCGUGGAUACGGCUAGCCAUGGAUUGUGAAAGAAUGGUGGAAAAGGAAAUAAACUUUAUUUUAUGUUUGGGAACCGCCUAUGAUUUAUCUAGCAUGGAAGAUAUUGGGAAUUCUCGGUCGUUUUCGUUGACAGGAAAAGCAUGCAUCUCAAAACAAUUUUAUCUCUCAAUUUAA